GAUUAACGCUAGCGGCGGCAUAAUACAUGCAAGUUGAACGAGAUAAGUUUUAGCAAUAGAACUUUGAAAGUGGCGCACGGGUGCGUAACACGUAUGCAACCUACCUUUUACUGGGGAAUAGCCUCUCGAAAGAGAGAUUAAUACCCCAUAAUAUAUUGAUAAGGCAUCUUAUUAAUAUUAAAGUUACGGCGGUAAAAGAUGGGCAUGCGGCUGAUUAGGUAGUUGGUGAGGUAAUGGCUCACCAAGCCGACGAUCAGUAGGGGGUCUGAGAGGAUGUCCCCCCACACUGGUACUGAGACACGGACCAGACUCCUACGGGAGGCAGCAGUAGGGACUAUUGGACAAUGGGCGCAAGCCUGAUCCAGCCAUGCCGCGUGCAGGAUGAAGGCCCUAUGGGUCGUAAACUGCUUUUGUACGGGAAGAAACCUCACUACGUGUAGUGAGUUGACGGUACCGUGAGAAUAAGGAUCGGCUAACUUCGUGCCAGCCGCCGCGGUAA
RNAcentral lists this ribosomal RNA (499 nucleotides) under uncultured bacterium. RNAcentral describes it as "partial 16S ribosomal RNA". It matches the Rfam family "Bacterial small subunit ribosomal RNA", at positions 28 to 523 of the family's 1533-position model. The record is from RNAcentral.